RNAcentral lists this ribosomal RNA (372 nucleotides) under uncultured organism. Its description in RNAcentral is "partial 16S ribosomal RNA". It matches the Rfam family "Bacterial small subunit ribosomal RNA", at positions 527 to 896 of the family's 1533-position model. The record is from RNAcentral.
GUAGGUGGCAAGCGUUGUCCGGAAUUAUUGGGCGUAAAGCGCGCGCAGGCGGUUCUUUAAGUCUGAUGUGAAAGCCCACGGCUCAACCGUGGAGGGUCAUUGGAAACUGGAGAACUUGAGUACAGAAGAGGAAAGCGGAAUUCCACGUGUAGCGGUGAAAUGCGUAGAGAUGUGGAGGAACACCAGUGGCGAAGGCGGCUUUCUGGUCUGUAACUGGCGCUGAGGCGCGAAAGCGUGGGGAGCAAACAGGGAUUAGAUACCCUGGUAGUCCACGCCGUAAACGAUGAGUGCUAAGUGUUAGGGGGUUUCCGCCCCCUUAGUGCUGCAGCUAACGCAUUAAGCACUCCGCCUGGGGAUACGGCCGCAAGGCUG